This 85-nucleotide transfer RNA is filed under the name Felis catus (domestic cat). It matches the Rfam family "tRNA". From Rfam's summary of the family: Transfer RNA (tRNA) molecules are approximately 80 nucleotides in length. Their secondary structure includes four short double-helical elements and three loops (D, anti-codon, and T loops). Lineage: Eukaryota; Metazoa; Chordata; Mammalia; Carnivora; Felidae. The record is from Rfam by way of RNAcentral.
GCCUGAGUGGCUCAGUCAGUUAAGCGUCUGACUUCAGUUUAGGAAAUGAUCUCAUCGUUUGUGGGUUCGAGCCCCGUGUCAGGCU